Lytechinus pictus (painted urchin) is the source of this 6712-nucleotide RNA transcript. RefSeq lists it as uncharacterized. The transcript is spliced from 2 exons. The record is from RefSeq and is a predicted model, not a curated record. NCBI's taxonomy places the organism in Eukaryota, Metazoa, Echinodermata, Echinoidea, Temnopleuroida, Toxopneustidae.
GGUUAAGUGUAUGAAUCUUACUAAUUUAGAGCUUUUCUUAAAGACUGGACAUUACGUCUAGGCGAAGCGCAUACGUAUAUGCAAAUUAAUUGUAAAACUUUUGUUAGGCAAAUGAACUACGCCCUAAAACCCGAUCCGACGGCGUCGUGUACUGUAGGCCUAUUAAUUUUGGUCAUUACGUUUUAUUGGUUUGGAUGGAGCUGACAUGAUUUGUCUCGAUUUGUUUUUGCCUUAGGGGCAAUAUCAACUUCAUCAUUUUGCUAUAAUUUUAGCAGACACAUAAUAUGGAUUUGUUUUAUCGACGAGCUAAUCAUAUUUUAUGCUGCUAUGUCAGGAAGGAGUUUUAGAUGAUUUCUUGGUGUAUUUCUUAACCCACAUACGUGGUAAGUCAAAAUUACUUCCUACUAGGAUAUUUCAAUAAUCUUUAAAACUAAGACGGAAAUUUGCACGAAAUAAGGUUUUAAGUUAAUUGCAGAAUAUGUGAAAGUUAUUUAAUGUUGAAUUUUGCAAAUUAAAACUAUUUAACAGAUUUUUGACAUUACGUCCGUUUAAUGGGUCUGUUUACAUACUAUGCCUGAACAUGUUGUGUGUUUAUCUAUAAGGGAUUGGCAUAAUUAAUUUGUAAUGUAUUUGUAAGAUUGAACGUAUUUUGAAAGAUUACUUUAUGGAUAAUUUUGAAAUGAAUUUCCAUCAAUCAAACAUGGACACUUAUUGACAACUAGUUAUGCAAAACUAAUUAAUGAAUCAAUUGCGUGAUUAGAUCAAUGUAUUAGAAGUGUGGUUCCAUGUUUACUAUUUAUUGUAGGGUUUUUGGUAUCGAGGUUCUAAAGGCAGAGCCGUAUCAACAGUGAGUACUGAGGGUGCUUACGGGAACUCCGGACGGGACAGAAGUCUCGGGAAUCGCCCUCCAGUGUGACGUCAUAGUGAUGAGUCAUCGAUGUUCGGAUUCGCCAUUGAUCGCGAUAAACUCGUCAGUUUUCUUCAAUGGGCCCCAACGAAAUGAUAACAGCUAAGGACUUUAUGUUAUUCGAAAUGAAAUUUCAUUAUGAAUUUAUUCGUUGAUGUUACGCCAUAUUAUUCACAGAAGUGAACGCAUUGAAUUUAAUUAUGAUUAAAGAUAUUUCAUUUGAUUUGUAAUUCCAAUCCAUUUUCUUUUUCGUGAUUUGUUGUGUAAACAGUACAUAGGCAAUUAUCUUUUCUCUAGAGUAUUUUUGUCCUUUGCUUUUGCACUGGGCUUGUGACAAAUGGGGGCAUGUCCUUGGGAUGAGAAAAAUAAUUAAUUGCAGUACUGUUCAUAACAAAUAGAAUUUAAAGAAUGGAUUUGGAAAAGUUUGUUGAAUUCGGUAAAGUGUGUGGACUAGCGGGUAAAGAAUUAUUAGAAUUUGCUUGUAAAGAACGUGACAAGGUUCUCGAAGAAAAGCGUAGAAACGAACAGAUAGAAAGAGAUGAACGAAGACUUAGGAGGGAAGAUGAUCAAAGAAGGUUAGAAGAGGUAACGAAACAAAAGGAGUUAGAUUUGAAGAUAAGUGAAAGUAGGAAAGUUAUUGGGACAUCGUCUGAGGGUCUUAGUAAAAUCCCCUGUAUGCCAGCGUUCCGAGACAAAACGGAUGAACUAGAUGCGUACAUAGACCGUUUUGAACGGCACGCGACUUUGAGUAAAUGGCCAAAGGAUUGUUGGGCGUCUGCUCUAGGCAACUUGUUGACAGGUCCCGCCCUAGAUGUAUAUUGUUCAAUAAGCGCAGAGGAGGCAACCGAUUACGAUCUCCUUAAGAACAUGCUAUUGCAAUACUUUGCUCUUACGAGUGAAGGAAAUUGGAAACGCUUUCGCGAAGCGAAGAAAGGCGGAGAAGAAUCUUAUUACCAAUAUGCUAACCGUUUGAUUCGUUACGUCACGCGCUGCAUUGAUUUGAGCGGCAAAGAAAAGACAUUUGAUGCGUUGUUGGAUGUAAUAGUUCGUGAACAUAUUUACGAGACCUCUGAGCGUUCAUUGUCAGUAUUUAUGCGGGAGAGAAAUCCCGAAAACGUUCCAGAGCUAAUUUUGCUAGCUGAGCAAUAUAGGAGUGCGCAUGUGUCAGCUACAACUGACUCCGGUAGACGCGCACGCCGUGAAGAAAAUGCUCGCAAAUUGAGAGAUGGUAAAAGUAAGGACCGAAGCGACAUAAGUCCUAAUCCAAAAGCUUGCUAUACUUGCGGUAAAUCAGGUCAUUUUAUGGCCAGGUGUCCAAACAAAAAGGGCAGUAAUUCGAGAGACGGGUCAGGCAAGUUAAGCUCGGAUUCGCGUAAGCAAUCUGUGAACGCAUGCGUAGUCGGAGUAUGCCCUGAUAUGUCAACACCGCAAACGCAAGGUGUUAGUCCCGAUUCAGCUACGGUAAAGCUGCAGUGUGGUCAUGAAAUUCCGUUGCUUUAUACGGCUUGUACAGUAGAAUCAGAUAUGCCCACUUGUGAUGGCAGUAUAAAUGGCAAGAAAAUAACAGUCUUGCGCGAUUCAGGUUGUAGUUGCGUGAUUGUUCGUACGGAUUUAGUGAAGAAAGCUCAGUUUACAGGAAAAACAAAGCUAUGUAUGCUAAUUGACCGAACAAUUAGACGGAUGCCAGAGGCAAGGCUGUAUGUUAGUACCCCAUAUUUCCAAGGUAAUGUGACAGCAUUAUGUGUUGAUAACCCGUUGUACGAUUUAGUCAUCGGAAAUAUUACAGGUGCCAGGAAACCUGGAGAUGAGGAUCAGAACUGGACCUACACUAAGGCGAGUGACGGCGAGUCAUCCAUCAAGGAGGAUAGAUCCUCCUGUGACGGUGAUCCUGAUGACAUAAAGGAGACAACUGUAAGAGAGCAGAGUACGCCCUCAUCGUCGGAGGCCACAGAAGAUGAUCUGUCAGGCGUUACUCAAGUACCAGACGAAAAGAUACCGAAUGAUGUGUCCCAGCCGCACAACCAGGAUGAUGUCAUCAUUCAAGAGCAACCAAGUGAGUUGAUGAGUGAGUCAACUAUCAAUGAAGAGGUGGAACAAGGGGCAGGAGUGGAGACUCGAGGGACGAAGAGACGAAAGGAUCGGCCGUUCAUGAGUCUUGGAUCGUCAAAGCAGCCGGAGUGUAUCGCAACCCGUGAGGAUGUUAUUGCAGCACAGAAGGCAGAUGCAACGCUGAAGAAACUAAGAGAUUUAGCAGAAAAGGGUGAGUCAAAGCUUGUAGGGAAGAAUAGCGAAGUGAGAUUUUACUUCAAGAAUGGUCUUCUAUUCCGUGAAUACAGGUCACUAGGUAACACCCAGGGGAAGACGUUUACUCAACUGUUGGUACCCAAGCCGUUCAGAUCUCAAGUUCUUCGACUAGCUCAUGACUCUGCAUUAGCUGGACAUCUGAAGACAAGGAAGACGAAUGACAGGAUCCUGACGCAAUUCUUCUGGCCUGGACUACAAUCCGAUGUCAAGCGUUAUUGUGCUUCUUGCGACGCAUGUCAACGUACAAUGCCUAAAGGACGGAUUGGUAAGGUGCCACUCGUAAUUCCCCCUUUGAUAGAUACUUGUUUCAAACGAAUUGCAGUAGAUUUGAUAGGACCCCUAAAUCCCAUUACUGAUAGAGGGAAUAGGUAUAUCUUGACUGUAGUUGAUCUAGCUACUCGCUACCCUGAGGCAGUAGCCCUACCUCGAAUUGAAGCCGAGCGUGUGGCAGAGGCCCUAGUUGAAAUAUUUUCACGCUUAGGUGUACCUAAUCAAAUAUUGUCUGAUAAUGGUACUCAGUUUGUUUCGGGAGUUAUGAAAGAAGCUGCCCAAUUGUUAGGAGUUAGCCAGUUUCACACUACUCCUUACCAUCCAAUGGCUAAUGGAGCAUGUGAACGGUUCAAUGGGACCCUUAAGCAAAUGUUGCGUAGGAUGUGUCAGGAAUGUCCUAAAGAUUGGGAUAGAUACUUACCCGCGCUUCUGUUUGCGUAUCGUGAGGUUCCACAUGAGAGUCUUGGAUAUUCUCCAUUUGAAUUAAUGUAUGGGAGAACUGUCAGGGGACCCAUGACUAUUCUCAAGGAAUUAUGGUCUACAGAAGUCCCAGAAGAAGAAGUCAAAUCAGUUUAUCAGUAUGUCAUUGAUUUGCAGGAACGACUAGAGUCGACUUGUGAGCUCGCUAGGAAGGAGCUUACGAAGGCUUCAACGAAGUACAAGACACACUUCGACGUUAAGGCGAAGGAGAGGAGAUUUGAGUGUGGUGAUCAAGUUCUUCUACUUCUACCAACUAGCAGCAAUAAGCUACUCAUGCAUUGGAGAGGUCCUUAUGAGGUCGUGAAGAGGGUUGCUAGGAACAACUACAAGUUGAUGGUGAAUGGAAAAGAGAAGACUUAUCACGCCAAUCUACUGAAGAGGUAUGUUGAGAGGGAACAUGAAGAUGGUAGUCAAGAAGUUUCAGCCCCAGCUGAUCAAGUUGCUGCUAUCCAUAUUGUGGAUGAGGGUGACGAGAGUGAUAGUUCUGCGAGCAUUAUAUUCCCAGUAGUUGAGCAGACGGAAAGCAUCGAUGACGUGGAGUUUGGCGACGACGUACCCGUCGACAUGCGAACUCAGAUGCAGGCGCUCUUCCGGGAAUUCACAGACGUCAUGACCGAUGUCCCUGGGAAGACGGACAUCAUUAGUCAUUCGGUGGAGUUGACUUCGGCCGAACACAUCAGAUCACGCCCCUACCCAGUACCUCAAGCACUACGACAGACGAUUAGAGAGGAAGUAGAGACGAUGCUUAGGAUGGGAGUAAUCGAAAAGUCUACAUCGCCCUAUGCAUCACCUGUGGUAAUCGUCAAGAAAAAGGACGGGAAGAAUAGAUUCUGCGUUGACUAUAGGAAGAUCAACGCUAAAACAGUCAUCGACAACGAACCAAUUCCCAACAUAGAUCAGGUAAUCGCAGAUAUCGGAGAUGCCAAGUACUUCACUAAAAUUGACUUGUCAAAAGGAUAUUGGCAGAUACCAGUGGUCGAGGAGGACCGUGGGAAAACGGCGUUUGUAACUCCUGAUGGCCAGUACGAGUUUUUGGUACUUCCCUUUGGCAUGGUUAACGCCCCUGCUGUGUUUACCAGAAUGAUGAGGAAGGUGUUAGAUGAACUCCCUCACGUCCUUCAUUAUAUAGAUGACAUCCUCAUCUAUAGUUCAUCAUGGGAAGAGCAUCUGGAAGAUGUAAGGAGAGUCCUAUCACGAUUAAGGGAAAGUCAUCUCACUGCUCGACCGAGCAAGUGUCAUGCUGCAUGUAGCUCAGUAGAAUUUCUUGGACACAUCGUGGGACAAGGUGAAGUGAAACCUACGCCAGAGAAGAUCAAGCAAGUGUUGUCGUCAUCCCGACCGACAACAAAGAAGGAGGUAAGGUCAUUUCUUGGUCUAGUGGGGUACUACCGGAAAUUUAUCCCAAAUAUGGCCACCAUUGCUGCCCCUCUAUCCGAUCUCACGAAGAAAAAUAGUGCUACGAAAGUAAAGUGGGAGGAAGCGCAUGAACACGCUUUCCAAACACUUAAGAGCAGGCUGAGUCAUUUUCCUGUACUUAGAUUACCGGACAUCGAUAGCGAGUUCGUUGUGCGCACGGAUGCAUCUGAUGUUGGCAUCGGCGCCGUGUUGAUGCAAACUCAUGAAGAGAAAUUGUUUCCCAUUUGUUUUGCCAGUCGUAAGUUACUUGAUCGCGAACGCUUGUAUCCGAUAGUAGAGCGCGAGUGUCUUGCCUUAGCGUGGGCUGUUAAGAAGUUUGCCUACUUCUUACAUGGGAGGAAGUUCACGUUGCAGACGGACCACUUUCCUUUGGCAUACUUGUCGCAAGCGAGAUUGAAAAAUCUCAGAGUUUUACGGUGGGCGUUAGGCAUUACAGUCCUAUAAUUUCCAUGUUGAGGUUAUCAAGGGAUCUGAUAAUGUGGGAGCAGAUUUUCUCAGUAGAUGUCCCGAAGAUUGAAUGGUUCAUAAAAUAGAGUGAACUAACUUUUAUAAUUUGAUAACAUUGAAAAUCUCUAAAGCAGUAAUAUCAUUUUGGGUUGGCGGUUAUUUGUCAAGGUUAAGUGUAUGAAUCUUACUAAUUUAGAGCUUUUCUUAAAGACUGGACAUUACGUCUAGGCGAAGCGCAUACGUAUAUGCAAAUUAAUUGUAAAACUUUUGUUAGGCAAAUGAACUACGCCCUAAAACCCGAUCCGACGGCGUCGUGUACUGUAGGCCUAUUAAUUUUGGUCAUUACGUUUUAUUGGUUUGGAUGGAGCUGACAUGAUUUGUCUCGAUUUGUUUUUGCCUUAGGGGCAAUAUCAACUUCAUCAUUUUGCUAUAAUUUUAGCAGACACAUAAUAUGGAUUUGUUUUAUCGACGAGCUAAUCAUAUUUUAUGCUGCUAUGUCAGGAAGGAGUUUUAGAUGAUUUCUUGGUGUAUUUCUUAACCCACAUACGUGGGUUUUUGGUAUCGAGGUUCUAAAGGCAGAGCCGUAUCAACAGUGAGUACUGAGGGUGCUUACGGGAACUCCGGACGGGACAGAAGUCUCGGGAAUCGCCCUCCAGUGUGACGUCAUAGUGAUGAGUCAUCGAUGUUCGGAUUCGCCAUUGAUCGCGAUAAACUCGUCAGUUUUCUUCAAUGGGCCCCAACGAAAUGAUAACAGCUAAGGACUUUAUGUUAUUCGAAAUGAAAUUUCAUUAUGAAUUUAUUCGUUGAUGUUACGCCAUAUUAUUCACAGAAGUGAACGCAUUGAAUUUAAUUAUGAUUAAAGAUAUUUCAUUUGAUUUGUAAUUCCAA